Molecule: ribosomal RNA, 253 nt
Filed under: uncultured bacterium
Lineage: Bacteria
Description: partial 16S ribosomal RNA
Rfam family: Bacterial small subunit ribosomal RNA
Source: RNAcentral
UACAGAGGGUGCGAGCGUUAAUCGGAAUUACUGGGCGUAAAGCGCACGUAGGUGGCGACGUAAGUCGGGUGUGAAAGCCCCGGGCUCAACCUGGGAUUUGCAUUCGAGACUGCAUUGCUGGAGUACGGAAGAGGAGGGCGUGAUUCGCGGUGUAGCGUUGAAAUGCGUCGAUAUCGGGAGGAACAUCAGAGGAGAAGGCGGCCCUCUGGUCCAGUACUGACACUCAAGUGCGAAAGCUUGGGGAGCAAACAGG